AGUGAACGCUGGCGGUAGGCCUAACACAUGCAAGUCGAACGGCAGCACAGUAAGAGCUUGCUCUUACGGGUGGCGAGUGGCGGACGGGUGAGGAAUACAUCGGAAUCUACUUUUUCGUGGGGGAUAACGUAGGGAAACUUACGCUAAUACCGCAUACGACCUACGGGUGAAAGCAGGGGAUCUUCGGACCUUGCGCGAUUGAAUGAGCCGAUGUCGGAUUAGCUAGUUGGCGGGGUAAAGGCCCACCAAGGCGACGAUCCGUAGCUGGUCUGAGAGGAUGGACAGCCACACUGGAACUGAGACACGGUCCAGACUCCGACGGGGGGCAGCAGUGGGGAAUAUUGGACGAUGGGCGCAAGCCGGAUCCAGCCAUACCGCGUGGGUGAAGAAGGCCUUCGGGUUGUAAAGCCCUUUUGUUGGGAAAGAAAAGCAGCAGGUUAAGACCCCGCUGUUCUGACGGUACCCAAAGAAUAAGCACCGGCUAACUUCGUG
RNAcentral lists this ribosomal RNA (492 nucleotides) under uncultured bacterium. Its description in RNAcentral is "partial 16S ribosomal RNA". It matches the Rfam family "Bacterial small subunit ribosomal RNA", at positions 29 to 507 of the family's 1533-position model. The record is from RNAcentral.